This 425-nucleotide ribosomal RNA is filed under the name uncultured bacterium. RNAcentral describes it as "bacterial SSU rRNA". It matches the Rfam family "Bacterial small subunit ribosomal RNA", at positions 355 to 775 of the family's 1533-position model. The record is from RNAcentral.
UCGAGGAUCUUCCGCAAUGGGCGAAAGCCUGACGGAGCGACACCGCGUACAGGAUGAAGGCCUUCGGGUUGUAAACUGUUGUCACGCUAUAGGAAACCCUUGGUGCUAAUACCGCCAAGAUUGACUAAAGCGAGAGGAAGCAACGGCUAACUCUGUGCCAGCAGCCGCGGUAAGACAGAGGUUGCAAACGUUGUUCGGAAUCACUGGGCAUAAAGCGCACGUAGGCGGUCUGUUAAGUCAGGUGUGAAAGCCCCCGGCUCAACCGGGGAAUUGCAUUUGAUACUGGCAGGCUCGAGAACGGUAGGGGUGAGUGGAACUCCAGGUGGAGCGGUGAAAUGCGUAGAUAUCUGGAGGAACACCGGUGGCGAAAGCGGCUCACUGGACCGUCACUGACGCUGAGGUGCGAAAGCUAGGGUAGCAAACGG